GUGCUCACUUGGCAGCAUAUUGGAACGAUACAGAGAAGAUUAGCAUGGCCCCUGCGCAAAGAUGACAUGCAAAUUCGUGAAGCAUUCCAUAUUUUU
Small nuclear RNA from Colobus angolensis palliatus, 96 nucleotides. Lineage: Eukaryota; Metazoa; Chordata; Mammalia; Primates; Cercopithecidae. The record is from Ensembl.